RNAcentral lists this transfer RNA (67 nucleotides) under Marmota monax (woodchuck). Its description in RNAcentral is "tRNA.Thr". The record is from RNAcentral. Lineage: Eukaryota; Metazoa; Chordata; Mammalia; Rodentia; Sciuridae.
GGUUGUGGCUCAGUGGUAGAGUGCUUGCUUAGUACAUGUGAAGCCCUGGGUUCGAUCCUCAGCACCA